AUUGGGCGUAAAGAGUUGCGUAGGUGGCAUUGUAAGUGGAGCGUGAAAGCGUGCGGCUCAACCGCAUUAUUGCGUUCCAAACUGCAAAGCUUGAGUAUGGGAGAGGUAGAUGGAAUUUCUAGUGUAGGAGUGAAAUCCGUAGAUAUUAGAAGGAACACCGAUGGCGUAGGCAGUCUACUGGCCCAUUACUGACACUAAGGCACGAAAGCGUGGGGAGCAAACGGGAUUAGAUACCCCGGUAGUCCACGCUGUAAACUAUGGAUGCUAGCUGUGACACACAUCGACCUGUGUCGUAGCGAAGUUAACGCGUUAAGCAUCCCGCCUGGGGAGUACGGUCGCAAGAUUAAAACUCAAAGGAAUUGACGGGGACCCGCACAAGCGGUGGAGCGUGUUGUUUAAUUCGAUGGUAAGCGAAGAACCUUACCAAGGCUUGAAAUCCCGAGAAGGCUCUCGAAAGAGAACUGUGCUUUAUUGAACUCGGUGACAGGUGAUGCAUGGCCGUCGUCAGCUCGUGUCGUGAGAUGUUUGGUCAAGUCCAUCAACGAGCGCAACCCUUAUAGUUAGUUGAAUUUCUCUAGCUAGACUGCCCUGGUAACAGGGA
RNAcentral lists this ribosomal RNA (601 nucleotides) under uncultured Candidatus Saccharibacteria bacterium. RNAcentral describes it as "bacterial SSU rRNA". It matches the Rfam family "Bacterial small subunit ribosomal RNA", at positions 553 to 1167 of the family's 1533-position model. The record is from RNAcentral. Lineage: Bacteria; Candidatus Saccharimonadota.